RNAcentral lists this long non-coding RNA (363 nucleotides) under Prunus persica (peach). Its description in RNAcentral is "long non-coding RNA (PPER_LNC005239)". Lineage: Eukaryota; Viridiplantae; Streptophyta; Magnoliopsida; Rosales; Rosaceae. The record is from RNAcentral.
UUCGUUAUGGAAUGGAGUGGUUGGUGUAUUGCAUAGUUUUAGUCGUUGGAUUUCAUCCAAAAGUCACCAAAUGACUCUUCCCAUCAUAUUAUGAUGUUCUCCAAGUUUUGGACACAAUCCGAUAUCGACUGGUCCACGAAAUUGGACAAUUCUGGUUCGUACGAAGUUCGUUAUGAAAUAGGGUGGUUGGUGUAUUGCGUAGUUGUAGAGAUUGGAUUUCACUCAAAACCCACCAAAUGACUCUUCCCACCAUAUUAUGAUGUUCCCCUAGUUUUGGACUCAAUCCGAUAUCGAUUGAUCGAUGAAAUUGGACAAUUUACGUUCAUAUGAAGUUCGUUCCGAAUUGGAGUGGUUGGUGUAUUG